Struthio camelus australis is the source of this 3821-nucleotide long non-coding RNA. RefSeq lists it as uncharacterized. The record is from RefSeq and is a predicted model, not a curated record. Lineage: Eukaryota; Metazoa; Chordata; Aves; Struthioniformes; Struthionidae.
CGGAGGGGGCUAACAACACCACGCGCGCCAGGCGAGCGGGUAAUUAAAGCACGGCAUUGGGCGCGCUAGCGAACCGCUGUGUGGGUACACCGGGGAAAGUUUGGGAGUUCAAAUAACCACAGACGGUUUUUAAUGCAAUCCGAAGGAAAGGGGAUCCCUGUUUUCAAGAGCAGAAGUUUCACAUAGCUGAGGCUGCGUCUGCAUCAUAAUCUAAUACUUCAGGGAAGGCGGCGCAGAGCAGCAGAUGCAUUUCAAAAAGCCUGCCUGCUGCGCUGUAACACUUCCGUGCCCAACCUAACCGCAAGUCCACGCUGCAUCUGUGCCAAAGUCGCAUUAUUUCUCUGCACUUAAGUGCUCCCCUCUGCAACAUGAACGCAGCAAGUCCUAAUCGACUCCGGAGCUUCCUACAAAGACCUCACUGGGAGAAUGGGUUGGCUAAAUGCAAGGGAUAACGUUACCAAUAAAAAUAGAGAUAAGAGCACAGAUGAAUCAGACUCUGAAAAUCCAAGAAGGCAUACCACAUGAACAAAAAUGGAUGCUAGCACAGCAGCGUAAACUCUCCAAAUAGGAGCUGAGGGAUAGCGGGGAUUUUUAAAAUUUUCAUCUUCAGCGGGAACUCUUUGAAAAAACCCUCUUUAUAAUAACAUUCAGCUCUGAUUAUUCCACCAAACAAUCUCAUAAAGUGUCUUUUACUGGAAAGGAAAUAAAUCCCCACCCGACAGGGCCAUAUCUCUGGCCAAGGCGCUAUCAAAGUAAGUCUGCCACAGGUGGGGUCAUCUCUGUAGAAGAAGCUGACGUUAAGGCAAAAGACAGAAAGAUCAUCCUUGCAGCGUCCGAUAAUUUUAACAAAAGGUAUCAAAACCCUUGCGUAACGAACUGACACCUACUUGGAGAAACACGGAGCCAAAUACUGAGCCAUGAAGCACUGCCAGCCCUUUCUUAGUCGUUUCCAAACAGCAUCCGAGAUGACGUUCUCAAGCAUUCCUUAACUAAUGGCUACCAGUUUCUGAAUCAAACCGCGCAACUGGCUUGCCUUGUGCAUCACCCACACCGGGUCAGACAUACUCGCAGCUCAGCACGACUCAUCGCAGGAGCCCGCACCUCACUGGCAACUAGGCCCAACCAUCACUGCCUUUAACUCCAGUCUAAAGCAAGUAAUGAACAUCCCUGACGCCCGGCAGAUUUCUUUCUUCGCCAGCGACAGAGCUGCAGGCCUGCUGAUGCCCCUCGUGAGCCAGGCGCAGAGCGCGGCCUGGAAAAUGCCCGCUGUCCUCAGCUCCCCUUGGAGUGCUAAGUGCACUUCCAUUUGAUGAAAUAGCUCCUUUCCAAGCAGGAGAGCAGAAAAUGGUACAUACUGUUCACUCGCAAAUGACCACAGUUGUCACAUCCACGGCUGCCAUGCAGUCCAUUCCUGGAAACAGCUCCUGAGCACAGGGAGCAGCAACCAAGAGCAACACGCAGUACCGAUGCGAGCAGUGACAGCCGGAAGCCAGGAAGCCAACACGCCUGGGAGAAGCUCAGCAUGAUCUACCAAGCAGUGAACCGAAUAGCUGGAAUUCAUGACUCACUGUUGACAAGCCAGAAGCAGAGCAUCCAUGUGAGAAACACCAAAACUCAGCGAGCCAGCGCCCACCUCUCCUGGGGGAGAGAGCACCCUGCCUGCCUUGGCAGCAACAGCAGACUGCAGUGCACUACGGAGACGCCUUGACUAGCUCAGGUACCAGAAGCUGGAUAGCUGCAUUCAGGUGGUACCUGCUCAAAUUAAUCUGUCUAGCCUGUCAGCAGGACUAAAGCAGUCCUGUAUAUUCUCUAUGUUUACAAAUAUACCCAAACCCUAAUGAUAUCAAAAGAUUUAAGUGUUCAAACAGUACUGGAAUAUAAGCAACACGAGCUUUGUGCCCUGCUCACACUGCCCUUCCCACCCUGCCACUUGUCGCCAUGUCUCCAGCUAUGAGGACAGGCAGAUACAGCCUCUGUUCUACCACAGCAGGAGGGGACAGGGGAUGAGGCUGGAGGCACUCCUGGAGAAGUGCCAGAGCAGAGCUGCUCUAUAUACAGGGUCAGUGGAGGUCUCUGAGUGACAUGGGAGAAUUAGGAGGGCUGGGCUGGGACACGGUGUCCAUAACUCAAGGAGUGAAGGCCUGACACUUGGGACUGUAAUCCUGUACGAUAGAAGUUAAGUCCCUCAGAGAGAUCCUGACCUCCAAGGAAGAUUACAUCAGAGAGUACAAUUAAUAUAGGACACUCGGUGAAAAGAGAAGGAUAACCUCACUGUUUCCACAGAGCCCCUGGAUACCUCCCUCCCUCUCGCUGCAGAUGUUCAGCUGUGCUGUGAUGCUUACUGGUAUCAGUGAUGUUUCGUGUUUUUUGGAAUCGGAGUUGUGCAGAACUCAAUGGUAGCAACUGCUGAAUCAGUAUGACCUGAACUACGCUGUAUAGGCCUGCUCAGAGUGCCUAGCACCUUCCUUCUCUAAGAAACGCACUUCAUUUUAAAAGUCCUGAAAGACAGGGGACAUCUCUUAUCCUAUUUCUAAUGUACUCCUUAGGGAAUUGGCUGAGAAACAGCCUUUAUGUUCAGUCCUUGCAAUAAACAGACAUAGUCCCACAAGGCAACAGAAGAAGGAGGGUGCUGUGGCAUCUAGAAGUGGGUAAACAUUUUAUGGGAGUAGGAACUGGCUGUAACAGAAAGAGCUCCUACCAUGGGCUUCAGUGUAAAAUCCCUGUAUUUCUGCAAAAGGCUCUUCAUCAGGGUCUACUAAAAAUUGUACUCUGCAAUAUCACUCUCUAGGCAGUGACACAUGGUAGGACACACCAAUGUGAAAGGUAGGACACCCCGAUGUAGGUAGGACACACCAAUGUGAAAGAUGAGGCCUGGAGCAGAGACCAAGCUAGUGAGCGCUGUUUGAUUUAUUAACUGAACUCCCGCACCAGAACGGAAGCUGCCAAGGACCAGUGCUUCCAUGAGGAUAUAGCAACAUCAGCAUGGAUGAACAGACACACCUCAGCUCUACUACUGCCCCCUUUGUCACUCAGCCCCUGGGCUGCCUCGCACUACCUGUCACGGCCACAUGCCCCGCUGUCCUGCGGGGCUGUGGCAGCAGCAGGGCUGGAGGAGUCAGCACCUAAAGAACCAGGGAAUGGGGUGGGAGAAGGAGGCAGCACAGAGAAAAAGAUGAUGGCAAUUAGCUCCACCUAAAAAAGUUUCUGAAGAGCCAUACCUGAACUGUCUAAAGCCUUCAAGACUGCUCUACAGUUUGUGGCUGAGUGUCUAAAAUGAUGCAGCACACCUGCAGCUCUCUGGAGACCACCGAUAAUUUACCAAAAAGACAACAUCCUGCUACAAUAACUUAACAGUGGAGCUAUCCAGGAACUAAGAUGUUUCUGCAGGGUGCAGAGCCUGUUUUAUUUUGUUUGAAUUUCAUGGCUAUUAACAUCCAUCCUAGGACUCAGUCAUGCUGGAUGCUCAGUUAUUCCGUUUAAGUUCUCCCAUAACCCCAGAGCACAGGUAAAUUACCCAUGUAUUUACACAUUUGCACAACCUGGCUAGGAACUGCAUGUUCUUCAUACCAGGGAUUCUGUGUUUUCCGAAGCACUCUCUGCACGUACUGACUAUACUGCAUGCCACUUUUAAGUAUGUAAUAAAUAGUAACCAUUAACUUUGAAUUGAAAUCAGAGGCCACCUAGAAAAGGAUAAAGCAGCUGCACGAAUGCAGAAACGAGCAGUUGUAAUGUCACCAAGGGUUUAGAAGCUGAAGAACAAAGAUCUCUACUGGUAUCAACUGACUGCUGAAAAAAAAGGCGGUAACGCCACCCUGCAGCAU